RNAcentral lists this non-coding RNA (28 nucleotides) under Homo sapiens (human). Lineage: Eukaryota; Metazoa; Chordata; Mammalia; Primates; Hominidae. The record is from RNAcentral.
UCUGAUGUCAGCCACGACCAGACUUCGG